Molecule: long non-coding RNA, 547 nt
Organism: Solanum dulcamara
Lineage: Eukaryota; Viridiplantae; Streptophyta; Magnoliopsida; Solanales; Solanaceae
Exons: 4
Source: RefSeq, a predicted model, not a curated record
AAAAGAUUCUAGAAAAUUCAAGAACAAGAAAGAAGAGAAGAGAAGAAACUAGAGAGGGAGAAAGCCACGAUUUGGAGGGAAAAAAAGCCCAAAACGUUACCAAACAGCCCCGAAGUUUCAGCUGCGCUAAAUGAAAUCCCGAGGCGAGUUUUGACGAGUUUGAUGAGUUCCAGAAAAGGUUAAGGAGGUAUCAAGGCAAGCCGGAUUUCAAUUAAUCCCGAAAAAGGGAUCGGUGCUCCUCCUCGUUCUCCUCCACGUGGCUAGUUGAUAUUCCAUUGAAGACUACUUUUGGUGAGUUCCCAUGUUCCGGGAACAAUACUCCUUUAUCUUUCUAGCUUAUGAUAUGUUAAGAUAUUUUAUUAUGGCAUUUCUUCUAUUAUGAGUGAUGGUGAGCUAGGAACUUGUCUUAGCCCCAUUAAAUCUAAUAGUUAGAGGUAUUGUUGGACAUAUGUAAGUUGAAGAUUUAUAAUUAUGAUUUCUGCUUGUCUAUUUAUCAUCAUUACCUAUGAAAGGCUAAAAAAAUGCUAAGAGACUUGUUUGAGGUACU